UGGGGAAUUUUGGACAAUGGGCGCAAGCCUGAUCCAGCCAUGCCGCGUGCAGGAUGAAGGCCUUCGGGUUGUAAACUGCUUUUGUACGGAACGAAAAGGUGCCUUCUAAUAAAGGGCGCUCAUGACGGUACCGUAAGAAUAAGCACCGGCUAACUACGUGCCAGCAGCCGCGGUAAUACGUAGGGUGCGAGCGUUAAUCGGAAUUACUGGGUGUAAAGGGUGCUCAGGCAGAUUUGUAAGUCAGAGGUGAAAUCUUACAGCUUAACUGUGAAACUGCCUUUGAUACUGCAAGCCUAGAGUAUGGAGGAGAGUGAUGGAAUAUCUGGUGUAGCAGUGAAAUGCGUAGAUAUCAGAUAGAACACCAAUGGCGAAGGCAGUCACUUGGUCCAUUACUGACGCUAAAGCACGAAAGCGUGGGUAGCAAACA
This 427-nucleotide ribosomal RNA is filed under the name uncultured bacterium. RNAcentral describes it as "bacterial SSU rRNA". It matches the Rfam family "Bacterial small subunit ribosomal RNA", at positions 355 to 774 of the family's 1533-position model. The record is from RNAcentral.